UGGUUCGGCAUUUUUUUUAAU
This 21-nucleotide non-coding RNA is filed under the name Caenorhabditis elegans. The record is from RNAcentral. Lineage: Eukaryota; Metazoa; Nematoda; Chromadorea; Rhabditida; Rhabditidae.